Molecule: unclassified non-coding RNA, 379 nt
Filed under: plant metagenome
Description: partial contains 5.8S ribosomal RNA, internal transcribed spacer 2, and large subunit ribosomal RNA
Rfam family: 5.8S ribosomal RNA (bases 1-105)
Source: RNAcentral
GAAAUGCGAUAAGUAAUGUGAAUUGCAGAAUUCAGUGAAUCAUCGAAUCUUUGAACGCACCUUGCGCUCCUUGGUAUUCCUUGGAGCAUGCCUGUUUGAGUAUCAUGAAAUCUUCAAAGUAAAUCUUUUGUUAACUCAAUUGGUUUCUACUUUGGUAUUGGAGGUCUUUGCAGCUUCACACCUGCUCCUCUUUGUUCAUUAGCUGGAUCUCAGUGUUAUGCUUGGUUCCACUCGGCGUGAUAAGUUAUCUAUCGCUGAGGACACUGUAAAAGGUGGCCAAGGUAAAAUGCAGAUGAACCGCUUCUAAUAGUCCAUUGACUUGGACAAUACUUUUAUGAUCUGAUCUCAAAUCAGGUAGGACUACCCGCUGAACUUAAGC